UGGCUAACUCCUACGGGAGGCAGCAGUAGGGAAUCUUCCACAAUGGACGCAAGUCUGAUGGAGCAAUGCCGCGUGAGUGAAGAAGGCUUUCGGGUCGUAAAACUCUGUUGUUGGAGAAGAGUGGUCGGCAGAGUAACUGUUGUCGGCGUGACGGUAUCCAACCAGAAAGCCACGGCUAACUACGUGCCAGCAGCCGCGGUAAUACGUAGGUGGCAAGCGUUAUCCGGAUUUAUUGGGCGUAAAGCGAGCGCAGGCGGUUUUUUAAGUCUGAUGUGAAAGCCCUCGGCUUAACCGAGGAAGUGCAUCGGAAACUGGGAAACUUGAGUGCAGAAGAGGACAGUGGAACUCCAUGUGUAGCGGUGAAAUGCGUAGAUAUAUGGAAGAACACCAGUGGCGAAGGCGGCUGUCUGGUCUGUAACUGACGCUGAGGCUCGAAAGCAUGGGUAGCGAACAGGAUUAGAAACCCCAGUAGUCCAGCUGG
RNAcentral lists this ribosomal RNA (481 nucleotides) under uncultured bacterium. RNAcentral's name for it is "bacterial SSU rRNA". It matches the Rfam family "Bacterial small subunit ribosomal RNA", at positions 329 to 803 of the family's 1533-position model. The record is from RNAcentral.